RNAcentral lists this ribosomal RNA (714 nucleotides) under uncultured bacterium. RNAcentral's name for it is "partial 16S ribosomal RNA". It matches the Rfam family "Bacterial small subunit ribosomal RNA", at positions 8 to 707 of the family's 1533-position model. The record is from RNAcentral.
AGAGUUUGAUCCUGGCUCAGAUUGAACGCUGGCGGCAUGCCUUACACAUGCAAGUCGAACGGCAGCACGGGAGCAAUCCUGGUGGCGAGUGGCGAACGGGUGAGUAAUACAUCGGAACGUGCCCAAUCGUGGGGGAUAACGCAGCGAAAGCUGUGCUAAUACCGCAUACGAUCUACGGAUGAAAGCAGGGGAUCGCAAGACCUUGCGCGAAUGGAGCGGCCGAUGGCAGAUUAGGUAGUUGGUGAGGUAAAGGCUCACCAAGCCUUCGAUCUGUAGCUGGUCUGAGAGGACGACCAGCCACACUGGGACUGAGACACGGCCCAGACUCCUACGGGAGGCAGCAGUGGGGAAUUUUGGACAAUGGGCGAAAGCCUGAUCCAGCCAUGCCGCGUGCAGGAUGAAGGCCUUCGGGUUGUAAACUGCUUUUGUACGGAACGAAACGGNCUUUUCUAAUAAAGGAGGGCUAAUGACGGUACCGUAAGAAUAAGCACCGUGCUAACUACGUGCCAGCAGCCGCGGNUAAUACGAAGGGGGCUAGCGGUUGCUCGGGAAUCACUGGGCGUAAAGCGCACGUAGGCGGAUCUUUAANGUCAGGGGGUGAAAUCNCNNGGCUCAACCUUGGNAACUGCCUUUGANACUGGGGGAUCUCGAGNUCCGGAAGAGGUGNAGUGGAACUGCUAGUGUAGANGUGAAUUCGNANAUAUUCGCNANAAC